This 72-nucleotide transfer RNA is filed under the name Urocitellus parryii (Arctic ground squirrel). RNAcentral's name for it is "Spermophilus parryii (Arctic ground squirrel) tRNA". It matches the Rfam family "tRNA". From Rfam's summary of the family: Transfer RNA (tRNA) molecules are approximately 80 nucleotides in length. Their secondary structure includes four short double-helical elements and three loops (D, anti-codon, and T loops). The record is from Rfam by way of RNAcentral. RNAcentral also lists the same sequence under 1 other name. Lineage: Eukaryota; Metazoa; Chordata; Mammalia; Rodentia; Sciuridae.
GGAGUUGUGGCUCAGUGGUAGAGCACUUGCCUGGCCUGUAUGAGGCCUUGGGUUCAAUCCUCAGCAUCACAU